UGGGGAAUAUUGGACAAUGGGCGAAAGCCUGAUCCAGCAAUGCCGCGUGAAUGAUGAAGGCCUUAGGGUUGUAAAGUUCUUUUAGUGGGGAAGAUAAUGACGGUACCCACAGAAAAAGCUCCGGCUAACUCCGUGCCAGCAGCCGCGGUAAUACGGAGGGAGCUAGCGUUGUUCGGAAUUACUGGGCGUAAAGAGCACGUAGGCGGUUUAGUAAGUUGGAAGUGAAAUCCCAGGGCUUAACCCUGGAACUGCUUUCAAAACUACUAAUCUAGAGAUCGAUAGGGGAUAGUAGAAUUCCUAGUGUAGAGGUGAAAUUCUUAGAUAUUAGGAGGAAUACCGGUGGCGAAGGCGGCUAUCUGGAUCGAUACUGACGCUGAGGUGCGAAAGCGUGGGGAGCAAA
This 400-nucleotide ribosomal RNA is filed under the name uncultured bacterium. RNAcentral describes it as "bacterial SSU rRNA". It matches the Rfam family "Bacterial small subunit ribosomal RNA", at positions 355 to 772 of the family's 1533-position model. The record is from RNAcentral.